RNAcentral lists this transfer RNA (82 nucleotides) under Candidatus Ryanbacteria bacterium CG10_big_fil_rev_8_21_14_0_10_43_42. RNAcentral's name for it is "tRNA-Leu". It matches the Rfam family "tRNA". Rfam says of the family: Transfer RNA (tRNA) molecules are approximately 80 nucleotides in length. Their secondary structure includes four short double-helical elements and three loops (D, anti-codon, and T loops). Lineage: Bacteria; Candidatus Ryaniibacteriota. The record is from RNAcentral.
GCCGGAGUGGCGGAAUUGGUAGACGCGUACGCUUCAGGUGCGUAUGUUGAAAGACGUGGAGGUUCGAGUCCUCUCUCCGGCA